CUGAGCGCAGCCGUGUCUGAGCCCAGAGCCGGGGAGCCCAGCGUUUGAGGGGGGUAACCCGAGCCCUCGAAGCCCUUGAAGCUGCGGGGGUGGCUUAGCUUCAGUGUUUUGGCCGAGAACACCCUUAAAGCUUAAAAUAAAACCUGCCUGUGGGGUGUGGGGAGGACCGAGGCGUAUGCGCAUCAGCACGCCCCCCUCCCCAUACCCUCCUCGGCUCUGGUUUGGGGAACAGGAUGCCGAGGGCUUGGACCAGAGGGGCCGGAGCCCCCACCCUCCGCCCCCCGCCGCCCCGUGGAUGCUCCAGAUCCCCGACCCACACCCCGGCCGGCCCCAGAUGCCCUCCCACACUUACGAAGGAAAUGCAGGCGGCCAGGAGAAGGAUCCGCACCAGGAGGUCUUCAAACUGCUCUAUCACCAACUCCCACAGGGACUUCCCUGGGAGAAGAGGCAGGGGAGGGGGCCCCCACGGUUAAGGUCUGGUGGAUGAAUGGCUGGGACUCCGGGUGCAGGCUGGGAUCCAGGGGCUGAGAGUGGCCUGAUUUCCACAGCCUAAGCAGGAAGGUUCUGGGGGUGAUGGGCAAGCCGCUUGGUACUGAGAGAAGGACUGAGGGAGCUCGCCAGGAGUCCAGAAACAGGCUCCCCAAAGUUGUGGUUAGUUGUUCAAGGGCUGGAGGCCUCACAGAGAAAGUACCUGGAAACUCCUGCCCCCAGCCAGCCUUUAACCUUUGGGGAGGGUAUUUGCCCCAGGAGUCAGUCGGGAGAAGGUGGGGAGAAGGGGGUGGGGGGUGUGGGGAGGAGUGUCAUUAAGAGAGUCCAGAGAUUCCAGUAACUUACCUUCCUCAGCAGGGAGCUCUACCCAGGGAAAAAGAAGAAAAGGACACAUUCAUUUGGGGCUCAGUCUAAUGCCCACCCCCCCCCCCCCAGGAUUCUGUGGCUAAGGUGAGGAUACUGAGGCCUGGAGAGGCUAACACCUGGCCUAGGCCAAACAGCAAAGGAGAGGAAAAGCUAGGAGUGAAAGCCAGUGCUCUCUGUCAUCUACCCCCCAGCUUCCCAGCCUGGCCCCGAGAAGGGGAGCAGCCAGCCUGCCCUGGGCCCCUCCGCAGCCAGACUCUGUGGCUGCCACAUUCAACCUCUGCCAACACGGCCACUAUGCCCCAACCCCGCCCCCACGAUCUCCCUCUGCCUGCUUUCUCCCUACGGUGGAAAGCCUUAACUGAAGAACUUAGAGCAAGAAGGGUCCUUGGAGGUUGCCGAUCCUGCUGUUCACUGUCCGGUCCCGUUAAGAGAACUUGGCCGCAAACCCCGAGAAGCACUAUUGGGCUCUGCACUUACCGCUCAACAAACAGGACCGCCCACGGGGGAGCAAUGGGCCGAAAGCACAGGGCUAGAGGGCAACAGGGACUUGACCUGACGCAGCCUUCUGGCCUCUCAGCUCUGGAGCGGGCAACGCCGAGUGGGCUGCUUUCCUGCCCCACCUGCCCCAACCCCCGCUGCAAACAGUGGCCACAGCCAUCACGACGGAACUGAGAUAAACCCUUUUAUUUAUU
Molecule: long non-coding RNA, 1547 nt
Organism: Neofelis nebulosa (Clouded leopard)
Lineage: Eukaryota; Metazoa; Chordata; Mammalia; Carnivora; Felidae
Exons: 2
Source: RefSeq, a predicted model, not a curated record